Molecule: ribosomal RNA, 698 nt
Filed under: uncultured bacterium
Lineage: Bacteria
Description: bacterial SSU rRNA
Rfam family: Bacterial small subunit ribosomal RNA
Source: RNAcentral
ACUCCUACGGGAGGCAGCAGUGAGGAAUAUUGGACAAUGGGCGGGAGCCUGAUCCAGCCAUGCCGCGUGCAGGAAGACGGCCCUAUGGGUUGUAAACUGCUUUUAUACGGGAAGAAACACUCCCUCGUGAGGGAGCUUGACGGUACCGUAAGAAUAAGGAUCGGCUAACUCCGUGCCAGCAGCCGCGGUAAUACGGAGGAUCCAAGCGUUAUCCGGAAUCAUUGGGUUUAAAGGGUCCGUAGGCGGGACAAUAAGUCAGCGGUGAAAGUCUGUGGCUCAACCAUAGAAUUGCCAUUGAUACUGUUGUUCUUGAGUGUUUAUGAAGUGGUUGGAAUAUGUAGUGUAGCGGUGAAAUGCAUAGAUAUUACAUAGAACACCGAUUGCGAAGGCAGAUCACUAAUAAAAUACUGACGCUGAUGGACGAAAGCGUAGGUAGCGAACAGGAUUAGAUACCCUGGUAGUCUACGCCGUAAACGAUGGUUACUAGCUGUUCGGUCGUAAGACUGAGUGGCUAAGCGAAAGUGAUAAGUAACCCACCUGGGGAGUACGUUCGCAAGAAUGAAACUCAAAGGAAUUGACGGGGGCCCGCACAAGCGGUGGAGCAUGUGGUUUAAUUCGAUGAUACGCGAGGAACCUUACCAGGGCUUAAGUGUAGUUUGACCGAUUUGGAAACAGAUCUUUCGCAAGACAAAUUACAA